CCCGGCUCCUGCCGCGGAGGGAGGAAGAGGCGUCGUGCCGCCCGGCUCCGGAGGAUGCGCCUUCGUUCUCUCCAGCAAGUCAGGCGGGACCAAGGGCGAGCUCUGGUCCGAGGCGUUGGGAGUUCUUCCUUGCUGCGCGGCAUGCCUCGUCCUGAAGCCACAUCUGCACCGUAGAGGGAAUGCGGCUUGAAAACACGUUAACGGCCGCUCAGUUCUGCGGAAUUCUCACAGUAUUGGUUGGGCAUCCCCAAACUGAGACAAGGACUGAAUUCAUGAUGUCUAAAAGUGCACUUUCACCACUGAAAUCAAUAGGAUGCUGGAUCUGCCUUAUCCUUAGGAAGGGCGAGGCCGCUGCUUGGGUUUCACAAGGAGGCAGCAAAUUGUUCUUUAAGCAAUUUGUUAUUAUUGUAUUUGUACUAUUGACUAUUGAGAGAUGCGCUUGUGGGAUUUUCUGCCUCAUGUGCCAAAAUAACUAGGCUCGCUUUUGGUUACUAUUCAUCUUGAACUGAUUGAGGCAGAAGCACAUUUUUCUGCUUCAUCUCAGGCAGCAAAACAUUUUGGAUUAGACUUGACGUGAUGGAAUAUGGAGGAUUAAGAAACCAGCCUCUGUUGCAUUUUGAACUCUGGACUACUAACUGCUGAAGCAGCUUCCAAACAGCCCACAUGAGAAGUAAAAAUAUUUAUGUUCUUCAUAACUACUGUAUUUGUGCUUGCUGUAUUAUAUGUUAUAACCCCUAAACUGUGACACGAGUGUUAGCAAAUGACUUUUCUGUACAUGUACAUGCUUGCUUUUCAUUUUUUUGGAUAUAUACUUUUACAAGAUAUCUUAGCUGUGAAAUAUCUCUUUUUGCAACAGAAGACUCCUUGUUGUGAACCUAUCUGUAGACAAUGGAAGUGCAGAACUGUUUGGAAAAAAGAUUUGUGAAUAAAUUAUGGUACAUCCAUCUGACAAACAUUCUUUUCUCACAAUAAAGUAGUGUAAAUAAGAGUCAUUUUCCUCCAUUAUGAGUAAGCUUUUAUUAACAAACACGUAUGUAUUAUACUCUCAGAAGUUACACAUAACAAUAUACUGGAAACAAUGUGAGUCAAUAGAUAUUACAUGUAGUGUGUGUACGUAUGUUAAUGUUUAUAAGCCACUUUGAGGCUCACUGUUGGGACAAAAUAAUAUAUAAAUGAAUAAAUCAAAAUAACAGUAAUAGUGACAUUAACAGAAGUUCACGUAGGGUUUAUAAAUAUACCUACAUCCCUUCCCACUAGUAUGGUUUAAUCAUUUUGGAGCAAUUGGUAUGGGGAAAAAUAUUGAACUGGAAUACUGCAAACUAUGCUCACAUAGACAGUGAUAUAGUACAGAUUAACUGGUAAUUGAGUUAUGAUUCAUGCUUUUCCUAGGCAACAGCCUUUCCUAUUACAUUUUGCAAAUUCCUACUACAAGACACUUGUCAAUCUUCUUUGAAAAGCCAUAGCUCCCUCUAUGAUUCCUCAGCCAUGUUUUUCCUUGGGUCUUGUUGGGGAAAGAGCAUUCAAUUGUCUUACUCUGGGCCUCUCUGCAACCACAUUAAUUGCAAUCAAGAAGCACAUAAUGAUAUAUGUGUUUAUCUUUUAAUUAUGCAACAAAAAUCUUCAUCAUCUUCUCAGUUUCAUGGCAGAGUAAUGCUUUCAUACCACUAUGUAAGCAAGAGUGAUUAGGAAAAGAUUUUUAAGAGACUGGGCCUAACCAUCCCCAACCUGGAACUACUCACAGAUUCAUGAUCUGUGGGCUGGAAGGAGAAAUCUCCCAACUUAGUGGCUUUUCUCCAAAAUCUAGUCACUGAAAAAAUGGAGCCUCCAUUUUGCAAGCCAUAGGGUAUCAUGGAAAAAGUACAAAAAGGUAAUUCUCUAGCUGAUUGGAAGAGGAAUAACUUGACAGUAAAACAGAUGUGACUGUUUGUAACUGUCAAACUGAUUAGUUGUACAAGCUUUUAAGAUGAAAAGGCUUGGGCACAAAUGUUGAGAUGUUAACACACGGAUGGGGAAUGUGGAAUGGCUCCAGCUGUGAUGGGACGUCAAAUCUCAUCUGACUUAACAAGCAUAGCUAUGAGGCUAUGAUAGCCAAUGGUAAAAUAAUAUGAAGGCAAAGGAAGCUCAAAAACAUCUGGAGGCCUAGAUGUUCUCUGCCAGUCCCCGACCACUAUAUCCGCAAACUCAGCCAGACAACUGAGGCCUCCCCAAAGGACCCAAUGAUUUAGGACCUCAUCCCCCAUGGGGAGAAUGUAGGUGGAAUCAUCUUCUUGGUCUGGUAUUCCAUGGUGUUUCAUCUUUAAACAGGACAGAUAAUUUUCUCAUCCCCACCAUGCAGGAUUACUUCCUCUUGUUUCUAGCGCAACCAUCUGCUUCAUUUCCUAUCACACGAAUGGGUGUUGUCUCCUCCCAUUUCAAAGAUACCAGCACACUUUUAAAACAUUUCAAUGAGAUCUGCCCUAUCCUCUUUGAACUCCUCCUCUCAAGUAGACCAGCACACUUUUAAAACACUUCUUUCAAUGGUACCCACACUGUCUUUAAACUAUUAACACACCACCUCCACGAACACCCAAACUGAAACAUCACAAAACUGAAUGUAAAUGGACAAAUCCAUAAGUUCUCAUUCCAAGGAAAAAUUCCAUUUUUAAGAGUUUCUACAUGAAGAAAGGAGUGGAGUUGAUUCCUACCUAUCUUUCAAAUCCAACCAUUUCUACAUGCCACAGAGAUGGAAUCCCACAGGCAGUUCAUGGAACGGGUUGUGCAUUAUUUGAUGGGAUCUGUGGGAUUCUGUCUUUGUGCAGAAAUGGAGGAUGAUGGGGUCCUAAGUUAAAAAAAGACUCAUGCUGACAAGAUGACUUCCUAGUUUCUUCAGACUCCUUCCUCACCCCACAGGACAGAUUGCACUACAAAGCCGCAUUUUAAAAAAACAUAUUGUGCAUGCAGAGGAGAUUAUAAAAAAUAUUCUAAGAAAAUUGUUUUUUCCCUGUAAAAUUGGAGCUUCAAAAUUGAUGUGCACCUUACAUUCCAUUGCACCUUAUAUUUGGUGGAAUAUAGCAUUAUAUCCCAACUGUUGAGUGGGGGGAAAAAAGACUAACCAAAUCUAAUUCUAAGUUACUAUUCCAAAUACCAUCUAUGCAUUUGCCUGAUAUUUUAAAUAUGAAAUUAUUUCUCUGAUACUUUUCUCACAAGUUUGUGUAAACACUAUUUUUUUUCAAAAAUAUGAACCCACAAUUUGUAUUUAAAACUCCUCCAUGAGCUCUCCAAAUUGCUUUUUUCAAAAAUCUUUGGAACAGUUUAAAGAACAGGUUGGAUAUCUUGCAGGGAAAUCUGCUAAGAUCAAACUCUUCACAGAAAAAUAGAGUGCCUCUUUGUCUUGCAGUUGUUGUUGUUGUUGUUGUUGUUGUUGUUAUUAUUAUCACGCUUUUUCUCUCCAUACAGAGACUCAAAGCAGCUCACAACUAAAAGCAUUUCAAUAUUCAAUACAACUAAAAAUAUACAAAUAUUAAAACUGUAUUAACAACAUUAAUACUAAAACUAUCCAGGUUAAAACCAUAAAGAUAUAAAAUCACAUCACAAAAUCACAGUAGCCCUUAAUGGUCUUAAAAUGCCAUUAUUCUUAAAAGCCUGCCUGAAUAAAAAGGUUGGAAGGACAGUGAGGAGGAGGCCGUUCUGGCUUCCCCGAGAAGAAGAGAGUUCUGGAGUUGAGGGACAACCAAUGACAGAAGGCCCGCUCUCCCGUUCCCACCAACUGGGCUUGAGAUGGAGGUGGGACUGAGAGAAAGGCCUCUCCUGAACACCUCAGGGCCUGGGCAGGUUCGUACAAAGAGAUGCGAUCAGCCAAAUAGCUUGGACCUGAACUGUAUAGGGCUUAAAGGUCAUAACCAGCACUUUGAAUAGUGUGCAGAAACAGACUGGUAGCCAGUGGAGCCAGUUGUCCGUUCCUUGUAGCCAGUCACAGUGAACAACCUGGCUGUAACUCUUUGGACCAGCUUAAGUUUCUGAGCACUCUUCUGAG
Molecule: long non-coding RNA, 4012 nt
Organism: Anolis carolinensis (green anole)
Lineage: Eukaryota; Metazoa; Chordata; Lepidosauria; Squamata; Anolidae
Source: Ensembl